GCAUCCAGCAGUCUCAGCAGGAGCCCCACAUUUGCUGGAGCUCAGCAGCUGCAACCAUCAGGUUGACCAAAGAGAUGCUUAAGAAUUUGGAAAAUACUGUAUAGUAUACAAAGGGGUAGCGGAGGAGUGUGAUUUCCACUUGCUGGAAGAGAAAGCGAAAGAGUCUGCAGAAAUUCCCGUUCUGGCGCAACCGGAAAGCAGACGAAAUGUGUCUGCAGCAGGGAGGGUGUGUUUUAAAUUCCCACAUUUGGAGCAGACGCCUUGACAGCUCGGUAAACAGCGAGGUGUAAGAUCCCGUCGCUUACAAGCCAAAGAACCGGAGACUGAAGCAUUUCCUGCAGAACUUUUCAUCAGGCUGGGUGUUACAGAGCGCACAGUGCAGAAGAAACAGAAGAAUCUCAAAUCAUCUGGAUUUGGAACCAAGUCCCCUUGUUUUCUGGUUCAACUUAUGUCCAAAAAGUGACAUUCUAUAAAGC
This is a non-coding RNA of Pogona vitticeps (central bearded dragon), 476 nucleotides long. NCBI's taxonomy places the organism in Eukaryota, Metazoa, Chordata, Lepidosauria, Squamata, Agamidae. The record is from RefSeq and is a predicted model, not a curated record.